RNAcentral lists this ribosomal RNA (169 nucleotides) under uncultured Clostridium sp. RNAcentral's name for it is "partial 16S ribosomal RNA". It matches the Rfam family "Bacterial small subunit ribosomal RNA", at positions 338 to 524 of the family's 1533-position model. Lineage: Bacteria; Bacillati; Bacillota; Clostridia; Eubacteriales; Clostridiaceae. The record is from RNAcentral.
CCUACGGGAGGCAGCAGUGGGGAAUAUUGCACAAUGGGCGAAAGCCUGAUGCAGCAACGCCGCGUGAGUGAUGACGGUCUUCGGAUUGUAAAGCUCUGUCUUUUGGGACGAUAAUGACGGUACCAAAGGAGGAAGCCACGGCUAACUACGUGCCAGCAGCCGCGGUAAU